CCCUUAGAUGUCCUGGGCCGCACGCGCGCUACACUGAGUGUCUGAGAUACGAGUCUGCCUGGUCCGGCAAGGUCUAGGUAAUCGCUAAAAGACACAUCAUGCUUGGGAUAGAUUAUUGAAAAUAUUAAUCUUGAACGAGGAAUUCCUAGUAAGCGCAAGUCAACAGCUUGCGUUGAUUACGUCCCUGCCCUUUGUACACACCGCCCGUCGCUACUACUGAUUGGAUGUUUAAGCGAGGUUCUCGAACUGCUAGCGACUUAGCUUCGGUGAGGUCGCAGUGUGGGAAGUGAACCUAGCUUUGGUGUCUAGAGGAAGUAAAAGUCGUAACA
RNAcentral lists this ribosomal RNA (329 nucleotides) under uncultured eukaryote. RNAcentral's name for it is "partial 18S ribosomal RNA". It matches the Rfam family "Eukaryotic small subunit ribosomal RNA", at positions 1470 to 1796 of the family's 1831-position model. The record is from RNAcentral.